UGCAAGUCGAGCGAACUGAUUAGAAGCUUGCUUCUAUGACGUUAGCGGCGGACGGGUGAGUAACACGUGGGCAACCUGCCUGUAAGACUGGGAUAACUUCGGGAAACCGAAGCUAAUACCGGAUAGGAUCUUCUCCUUCAUGGGAGAUGAUUGAAAGAUGGUUUCGGCUAUCACUUACAGAUGGGCCCGCGGUGCAUUAGCUAGUUGGUGAGGUAACGGCUCACCAAGGCAACGAUGCAUAGCCGACCUGAGAGGGUGAUCGGCCACACUGGGACUGAGACACGGCCCAGACUCCUACGGGAGGCAGCAGUAGGGAAUCUUCCGCAAUGGACGAAAGUCUGACGGAGCAACGCCGCGUGAGUGAUGAAGGCUUUCGGGUCGUAAAACUCUGUUGUUAGGGAAGAACAAGUACAAGAGUAACUGCUUGUACCUUGACGGUACCUAACCAGAAAGCCACGGCUAACUACGUGCCAGCAGCCGCGGUAAUACGUAGGUGGCAAGCGUUAUCCGGAAUUAUUGGGCGUAAAGCGCGCGCAGGCGGUUUCUUAAGUCUGAUGUGAAAGCCCACGGCUCAACCGUGGAGGGUCAUUGGAAACUGGGGAACUUGAGUGCAGAAGAGAAAAGCGGAAUUCCACGUGUAGCGGUGAAAUGCGUAGAGAUGUGGAGGAACACCAGUGGCGAAGGCGGCUUUUUGGUCUGUAACUGACGCUGAGGCGCGAAAGCGUGGGGGAGCAAACAGGAUUA
This 744-nucleotide ribosomal RNA is filed under the name Priestia megaterium. Its description in RNAcentral is "bacterial SSU rRNA". It matches the Rfam family "Bacterial small subunit ribosomal RNA", at positions 56 to 780 of the family's 1533-position model. The record is from RNAcentral. Lineage: Bacteria; Bacillati; Bacillota; Bacilli; Caryophanales; Bacillaceae.